RNAcentral lists this ribosomal RNA (253 nucleotides) under uncultured bacterium. RNAcentral describes it as "partial 16S ribosomal RNA". It matches the Rfam family "Bacterial small subunit ribosomal RNA", at positions 524 to 776 of the family's 1533-position model. The record is from RNAcentral.
UACGUAGGGUGCAAGCGUUGUCCGGAAUUAUUGGGCGUAAAGAGCUUGUAGGCGGUUUGUCGCGUCUGCUGUGAAAACCCGAGGCUCAACCUCGGGCCUGCAGUGGGUACGGGCAGACUAGAGUGCGGUAGGGGAGAUUGGAAUUCCUGGUGUAGCGGUGGAAUGCGCAGAUAUCAGGAGGAACACCGAUGGCGAAGGCAGAUCUCUGGGCCGUAACUGACGCUGAGGAGCGAAAGCGUGGGGAGCGAACAGG